RNAcentral lists this small nuclear RNA (161 nucleotides) under Trifolium pratense (red clover). RNAcentral describes it as "snRNA U1". It matches the Rfam family "U1 spliceosomal RNA". From Rfam's summary of the family: U1 is a small nuclear RNA (snRNA) component of the spliceosome (involved in pre-mRNA splicing). Its 5' end forms complementary base pairs with the 5' splice junction, thus defining the 5' donor site of an intron. The record is from Rfam by way of RNAcentral. Lineage: Eukaryota; Viridiplantae; Streptophyta; Magnoliopsida; Fabales; Fabaceae.
AUACUUACCUGGAUGGGGUCAAUGGGUGAUCAUGAAGGCCCAUGGCCUAGGCAAGUGCCCUCCAUUGCACUUCGGAGGGGUGCUUGCCUAAGGUCUACCCAAGUGGUGGAUCCUACAUCAUAAUUUGUUGCUGUGGGGGCCUGCGUUCGCGCGGCCUCUUC